ACACGUAUGAAAGACAAGCUGAAAGACUUUUCUCAAUGAUGUAAGUGGUGGUGCAUGGUCGUUCUUAGUUCGUGGAGUGGUUUGUCUGGUCUAUUCCGAUAACGAGCGAGACCCCGGCGUUCCUAAUAGGGGUGGCAGCCCGGCUCGUGCCUCGGCACUUGCUAGCAGCCACCUCGCAAUUGCUUCUUAGACGUAUCAGAGCCGAUAAGGUUCUUGAAAUGGGUUAAUAACAGGUCAGUCAUGCCCUUAGAUGUUCUGGGCCGCACGCGCGUUACAAUGGUAGGCUUAAAGAGUGCCUUUUGCGGGCGUUUCCGGGGCCGUCAGGUCCUGGUAACCCCUAGUCUCUCCCUUGACUGGGCCAGACUAUUGCAAUUAUUGGUCUCAAACGAGGAAUUUUUAGUAGUCGCAGGUCAUUAGCCUGCGACGA
RNAcentral lists this ribosomal RNA (427 nucleotides) under Didymium dubium. Its description in RNAcentral is "SSU rRNA". It matches the Rfam family "Eukaryotic small subunit ribosomal RNA", at positions 1230 to 1644 of the family's 1831-position model. The record is from RNAcentral. Lineage: Eukaryota; Evosea; Eumycetozoa; Physariida; Didymiaceae.